CGUACAGGGGGAAAAAAAAAAAAAAAGUGUUUCGCAUGUGGGUGGGUAUUGAGGCUUUUGCCUUACCACAGUAAAACUUUUAUCUCAGUGUCAAUCUGCCCAUUUGCAGCUCCGGUUUAUUCAUUUGUUUUAGGGCCUCGAAAGGUCCCGCCAGCUUUAUCUCCGUUUAGUUUUGCAGCUUGUUUGGGACAUUUUGGUGGUGCUGCCCUUUUUUAUUUCACUUUUCUCCCCACAAACGGUCUCCCCGGCAGGCAUCGCCCCUUCCCCGCAGGAACCCCAACCCCUGCCCCUCGACGGCACGGGGCCGCGGGCCCCCCGGGCUCCCUCCUCCCGGCCGCGGCUUUGUGGCGAGGCUCGGGCGGCUCCUCCCCGCUGCCGAGGCGGGUACCGGGCUCCGGGUACCGGGCUCCGGGUACCCUCCCGGGUACCUCCCGACUUCGCCGGGCCACGCCGCUUGUGGAGGCUCCGCUCGGCGGCCAGGUAAACCUCCGGCCGCACCACCACAGCCGGGGGGACCGAGGGGAGCGGGGCUCCGGGCGGGCCCCUCCGUGCCGGCGGGCCCCCGGGUCGGGCCGCCCCGCGGAGGGAGCGGGGCAGGGGAGCGGUGCCGGCGGGCUGGGGCUGGGCGAGCGGCGGUGCCGCCCGUGUGGGGCGGGCGCGGUGCCGGCUCCCCCCGGCCGGGGCGGCGGUUGGUUUCUCCUGGCAGCGGAGGCAGGGCCAGGCGCGGCGAGGGUGGGCGCGGAGUUGGCGGCGGGGCCGGGGGAGGCGGCGGCGGAGUUGGCUCCGGACGCGGCGGCAGGAGGUGAGGGACGGGGCUCCGGCACCGGGAGUCGGUGCGAACCGCGAGGGGGGAGCCCCGGGGCGGGCGGUUCGGGUACGGGGAGCCCCGGGACGGGGAGCCCCAAGACGGGCAGAGCCAAGACGGGGAGCCCCGGGGCGGGCAGCCCGGGGACGGGGAGCCCCAGGACGGGCAGCCGCGUCUCGUCCUGCGCUCCGCCGUGA
RNAcentral lists this long non-coding RNA (1002 nucleotides) under Anser cygnoides (Swan goose). Its description in RNAcentral is "lncRNA (ENSACDG00005006069.1)". The record is from RNAcentral. Lineage: Eukaryota; Metazoa; Chordata; Aves; Anseriformes; Anatidae.